UGUAAUGCUCCUUCUCGCCACCU
RNAcentral lists this non-coding RNA (23 nucleotides) under Arabidopsis thaliana (thale cress). Lineage: Eukaryota; Viridiplantae; Streptophyta; Magnoliopsida; Brassicales; Brassicaceae. The record is from RNAcentral.